This 106-nucleotide transfer RNA is filed under the name Aspergillus steynii IBT 23096. It matches the Rfam family "tRNA". Rfam says of the family: Transfer RNA (tRNA) molecules are approximately 80 nucleotides in length. The record is from Rfam by way of RNAcentral. Lineage: Eukaryota; Fungi; Ascomycota; Eurotiomycetes; Eurotiales; Aspergillaceae.
GGGGUGAUAGCUCAGUUGGGAGAGCGCACGACUGAAGUUACUCGGUCAUUUCAAAGCCAGGAUUCUGGCAAUCGUGAGGUCACCGGUUCAAUCCCGGUUCAUCCCA